Long non-coding RNA from Helianthus annuus (common sunflower), 620 nucleotides. RefSeq lists it as uncharacterized. The record is from RefSeq and is a predicted model, not a curated record. NCBI's taxonomy places the organism in Eukaryota, Viridiplantae, Streptophyta, Magnoliopsida, Asterales, Asteraceae. The transcript is spliced from 4 exons.
UGAUGUUUUGCUUACAAGUGGUCACAUAGAAUGGCUAUUAGGGUUGUAUGGUGUAUUGAGGGAGAAAUUCUCCGGUAAAGGCUACUAGAUUGACUGUCCUCUUGCGGUUUCUGCUCGCAAACUCAUAGUACAACUUUGCUCUCUACAGGAACUAUAUUUUCAUCUGAUGCUGGUGCUUCUCAAGAGAAGCAUCUUCUGCAACUAUUAUCUGGAAUCGUUCAAUUGAUUCAUCCUCCUGAUGUUAUUGCAAAAGCAAUUGAAAGUGGAGGAAGUGAGAGUGGCUUGAUGGAUGCCGUGGACUAUUAUCCAUAUCUGCUGUUACCAAUCCAGUUUAUUUGAUGAUCUCUUGAAACACAUAAGGCCUUUUGGUACACUCAGUUUGUUGUUUGCCUUGAUGUGUGAAGUUAUUAAAGACCUUAUGACCAAAGAUAUGGACGAAGAACCUUGGAGUUGGGUUGCACGUGAUAUAUUACUAGAUACCUGGAUGACACUUUUAACAGUAAAUAGUUAAUAUGCUCAAUUCCAGCGUAUGAUACUUGCUACAACAAUGGUGGCUUUGUACUAACUAGUGGGUUACCACCCGCACUUUGUAGCGGGUUCGAAACGUAGAUAAAAAUAAG